RNAcentral lists this transfer RNA (86 nucleotides) under Candidatus Riesia pediculischaeffi. It matches the Rfam family "tRNA". From Rfam's summary of the family: Transfer RNA (tRNA) molecules are approximately 80 nucleotides in length. Their secondary structure includes four short double-helical elements and three loops (D, anti-codon, and T loops). Lineage: Bacteria; Pseudomonadati; Pseudomonadota; Gammaproteobacteria; Enterobacterales; Enterobacteriaceae. The record is from Rfam by way of RNAcentral.
GCCCAGAUGGUGAAAUUGGUAUACACAAGGGACUUAAAAUCCCUUGACCUACUUUGGUCGUGCGGGUUCGAUCCCCGCUCUGGGUA